This 150-nucleotide ribosomal RNA is filed under the name Crocodylus porosus (Australian saltwater crocodile). RNAcentral describes it as "5.8S ribosomal RNA (ENSCPRG00005002227.1)". It matches the Rfam family "5.8S ribosomal RNA". From Rfam's summary of the family: 5.8S ribosomal RNA (5.8S rRNA) is a component of the large subunit of the eukaryotic ribosome. It is transcribed by RNA polymerase I as part of the 45S precursor that also contains 18S and 28S rRNA. Lineage: Eukaryota; Metazoa; Chordata; Crocodylia; Crocodylidae. The record is from Rfam by way of RNAcentral.
AAUUCUUAAUGGUAGAUCACUUGGCUCAUGCGUCAAUGAAGAAUGUAGAUAGCUGUGAGAAUUAAUGUGACUUGCAAGACACCUUGAUCAUCGACUCUUUGAAUGCAUUUCAAAGUGGUUCCUCCAGGGGCUAUGCCUGUCUGAGCACCG